RNAcentral lists this transfer RNA (76 nucleotides) under Desulfobacterales bacterium. Its description in RNAcentral is "tRNA-Thr". It matches the Rfam family "tRNA". From Rfam's summary of the family: Transfer RNA (tRNA) molecules are approximately 80 nucleotides in length. Their secondary structure includes four short double-helical elements and three loops (D, anti-codon, and T loops). The record is from RNAcentral. Lineage: Bacteria; Pseudomonadati; Thermodesulfobacteriota; Desulfobacteria; Desulfobacterales.
GCCGACGUAGCUCAGUUGGUAGAGCAACUGAUUCGUAAUCAGUAGGUCACGGGUUCAAAUCCCAUCGCCGGCUCCA